UCAAAGGAAUUGACGGGGGCCCGCACAAGCGGCGGAGCAUGCGGAUUAAUUCGAUGCAACGCGAAGAACCUUACCAAGGCUUGACAUGAACCGGUAAUACCUGGAAACAGGUGCCCCGCUUGCGGUCGGUUUACAGGUGGUGCAUGGUUGUCGUCAGCUCGUGUCGUGAGAUGUUGGGUUAAGUCCCGCAACGAGCGCAACCCUCGUUCUAUGUUGCCAGCGCGUUAUGGCGGGGACUCAUAGGAGACUGCCGGGGUCAACUCGGAGGAAGGUGGGGACGACGUCAAAUCAUCAUGCCCCUUAUGUCUUGGGCUUCACGCAUGCUACAAUGGCCGGUACAAAGGGUUGCGAUACUGUGAGGUGGAGCUAAUCCCAAAAAGCCGGUCUCAGUUCGGAUUGGGGUCUGCAACUCGACCCCAUGAAGUCGGAGUCGCUAGUAAUCGCAGAUCAGCAACGCUGCGGUGAAUACGUUCCCGGGCCUUGUACACGCCGCCCGUCAAGUCACGAAAGUUGGUAACACCCGAAGCCGGUGGCCUAACCCUUGUGGGGGGAGCCGUCGAAGGUGGGACCGGCGAUUGGGACUAAGUCGUAACAAGGUAGCCGUACCGGAAGGUGCGGCUGGAUCACCUCCU
RNAcentral lists this ribosomal RNA (632 nucleotides) under bacterium TN70A. RNAcentral's name for it is "bacterial SSU rRNA". It matches the Rfam family "Bacterial small subunit ribosomal RNA", at positions 901 to 1531 of the family's 1533-position model. The record is from RNAcentral.